GAAAUGCGAUAAGUAAUGUGAAUUGCAGAAUUCAGUGAAUCAUCGAAUCUUUGAACGCACAUUGCGCCCCUUGGUAUUCCGAGGGGCAUGCCUGUUCGAGCGUCAUUAUAACCCCUCAAGCGUAGCUUGGUGUUGGGGCCUGCUGUACUGGCAGCCCUUAAAAUCAGUGGCGGUGCCAUCAGGCUCUAAGCGUAGUAAUUCUUCUCGCUACAGAGUCCCGGUGAUGCUAGCCAUCAACCCCUAAUUUUCUAUGGUUGACCUCGGAUCAGGUAGGGAUACCCGCUGAACUUAA
This 292-nucleotide unclassified non-coding RNA is filed under the name uncultured Helotiales. RNAcentral's name for it is "sequence contains ITS1". The stretch from base 1 to 105 matches the Rfam family "5.8S ribosomal RNA", at positions 50 to 154 of the family's 154-position model. Lineage: Eukaryota; Fungi; Ascomycota; Leotiomycetes; Helotiales. The record is from RNAcentral.